UACGUAGGUGGCGAGCGUUGUCCGGAUUUACUGGGCGUAAAGCGCACGUAGGCGGCUUUGCAAGUCAGAGGUGAAAGCCCGGGGCUCAACCCCGGAAUUGCCUUUGAGACUGCAUCGCUAGAAUUGUGGAGAGGUAAGUGGAAUUCCGAGUGUAGAGGUGAAAUUCGUAGAUAUUCGGAAGAACACCAGUGGCGAAGGCGACUUACUGGACACAUAUUGACGCUGAGGUGCGAAAGCGUGGGGAGCAAACAGG
RNAcentral lists this ribosomal RNA (253 nucleotides) under uncultured bacterium. RNAcentral's name for it is "partial 16S ribosomal RNA". It matches the Rfam family "Bacterial small subunit ribosomal RNA", at positions 524 to 776 of the family's 1533-position model. The record is from RNAcentral.